GUCCGUCGCCCAGGUGAGGUCCCUAGUCACCUGGGCGAUGAGGUAUCAAAGCUUGGGCGACCACACUCGUAGCCCAGACAAUACAUGAGGUGUUAUUCUCGCCUGGGCGACCUCCUUGGACCCCUGAGCAAUGACUUUCGUGGACUGAGCCCUGUUUCUACUCUAUUUAAAUUCUUUUGGCCGGACCCUGUUUUGGCAUGCCUCUGACACUAUUUAAAGGACCCUGGGGCUCUAGGUUUUGCAUCCCUG
RNAcentral lists this long non-coding RNA (249 nucleotides) under Vigna radiata. RNAcentral's name for it is "long non-coding RNA (VRAD_LNC012528)". Lineage: Eukaryota; Viridiplantae; Streptophyta; Magnoliopsida; Fabales; Fabaceae. The record is from RNAcentral.